AAGGGUAUAGCUCAGUAGUAAAGUGCAUGCCUGACAUGCAAGAGGUCCUGGGUUCAAUCCCCAGUAUCUCCA
RNAcentral lists this transfer RNA (72 nucleotides) under Camelus bactrianus (Bactrian camel). It matches the Rfam family "tRNA". Rfam says of the family: Transfer RNA (tRNA) molecules are approximately 80 nucleotides in length. Their secondary structure includes four short double-helical elements and three loops (D, anti-codon, and T loops). Further hydrogen bonds mediate the characteristic L-shaped molecular structure. tRNAs have two regions of fundamental functional importance: the anti-codon, which is responsible for specific mRNA codon recognition, and the 3' end, to which the tRNAs corresponding amino acid is attached (by aminoacyl-tRNA synthetases). tRNAs cope with the degeneracy of the genetic code in two manners: having more than one tRNA (with a specific anti-codon) for a particular amino acid; and 'wobble' base-pairing, i.e. permitting non-standard base-pairing at the 3rd anti-codon position. Lineage: Eukaryota; Metazoa; Chordata; Mammalia; Artiodactyla; Camelidae. RNAcentral also lists the same sequence under 2 other names. The record is from Rfam by way of RNAcentral.